CAGCCGCCGCGGGAAUACGUAGGGUGCGAGCGUUAAUCGGAAUUACUGGGCGUAAAGCGUGCGCAGGCGGUCGUGUAAGACAGGUGUGAAAUCCCCGGGCUUAACCUGGGAACUGCGCUUGUGACUGCACAGCUAGAGUACGGCAGAGGGGGGUGGAAUUCCACGUGUAGCAGUGAAAUGCGUAGAGAUGUGGAGGAACACCGAUGGCGAAGGCAGCCCCCCGGGCCAAUACUGACGCUCAUGCACGAAAGCGUGGGGAGCAAACAGGAUUAGAUACCCCCGUAGUCCCUGUCUCUUAUAC
This 301-nucleotide ribosomal RNA is filed under the name uncultured bacterium. RNAcentral's name for it is "partial 16S ribosomal RNA". It matches the Rfam family "Bacterial small subunit ribosomal RNA", at positions 509 to 807 of the family's 1533-position model. The record is from RNAcentral.